Molecule: ribosomal RNA, 266 nt
Filed under: uncultured bacterium
Lineage: Bacteria
Description: partial 16S ribosomal RNA
Rfam family: Bacterial small subunit ribosomal RNA
Source: RNAcentral
AUCCUUCAAAGCCGCCNUCAGUUCGGAUUGGGGUCUGCAACUNGACCCCANGAAGUCGGAGUCGCUAGUAAUCGCAGAUCAGCAACGNUGCGGUGAAUACGUUCCCGGGCNUNGUACACACCGCCCGUCACGUCANGAAAGUUGGUAACACCCGAAGCCAGUGGCCCAACCCCUUGUGGGAGGGAGCUGUCGAAGGUGGGAUCGGCGAUUGGGACGAAGUCGUAACAAGGUAGCCGUACCGGAAGGUGCGGCUGGAUCACCUCCUU